Myotis lucifugus (little brown bat) is the source of this 1365-nucleotide RNA transcript. It is a transcript of the gene named small nuclear RNA activating complex polypeptide 5, with no coding region annotated. Lineage: Eukaryota; Metazoa; Chordata; Mammalia; Chiroptera; Vespertilionidae. The record is from RefSeq and is a predicted model, not a curated record. The transcript is spliced from 5 exons.
ACGUCAUCACAGAGCGCCCAGCCGCCAGGGCGUGUGGAGACGCGAUGCUGAGCCGGCUCCAGGAGCUGCGCAAGGAGGAGGAGACGCUGCUCCGGUUGAAGGCGGCACUGCACGACCAGCUGAACCGGCUCAAGGUUGAAGAAUUGGCCCUCCAAUCAAUGAUUAGUUCUAGAAGAGAGGAUGAAAUGCCGUCUUCUCCAGCUGCACAGGAACAGUCACAUGAUCAGGUGGUGGUGCAUGUAGACAAUGAAGCAUCCAUCAACCAAACUGCACUGGAGUUGAGCACAAGGAGCCAUGCACCAGAAGAGGAGGAGGAGGAGGAAGAAGAAGAAUCAGAUUCGUGAAGUGGGGAAAGAGCCAGGCCCCAGCCUGGCAUCCCGAGACAGGGAACCAGCCCUCCAGAAAUGACCGACAGUAAGCAACCCCCACACUCCACCUGGAGCACACCAUGACACUCACAGCUAAGGGGCCUCCCAGGGGUCCUUGGCCGGGGUGGUGUCUCAGCCGCAUCUCCCUCCACCUGGCACCCAAACAGCAGCUCCAGCUCCUUGGCAUCUGGAGGAGGGAUGGGAUACCUCCCAACCGCCAUCUCAACCAGAGAGAGCCCCAUGCUCCAGAUGUCCGACUGCACCGAGUAAUGAGUCCCCUGGAGUCUCUCUGGCUGCAGGAGAGACAAACAGUUACAAACACCUGUGAGCCAACCUGGGCCCACGCAGAAGAGGGGUGGAGUCCCUCAACGGGAGCCUCAGGACUUCCUGCCCCCGUGAGACUUGCCUGCACUGCAGGAGCAUGGACUUCCCCUGGGUCUGCUGAACCGCAUCCAGCCCAGCUGUGGUUCCAGCGCUGCCCAGCCUGGCCACCGUCCUGCAUGGGUGGGCACUCUGUCCAGAGCCCAGCAUGAGAGGCUCACCUUGUUACCUGCGUCUGAAACAUGAAGCUUCUGGAACAUGGGUCAUGAAUGAGAUGGUGCAGUGAGUGGAAAGAAGUUUGAAGCCCAGCUCUACCAAUGACUCACUGCUUUUGGAAUGGCAGAAAAGCAAAACGAUCUGGGUUCAGAAGACAUGGGUUCAAAUCCCACUCUGGGACUUCUAAGCUACAUGAUCCUGAGCCUCCAUGCCCACAUCUCUAAGAUGGGGGCUGGCGAUGAUGGUAACAACAGUAAUAACAUAAAAUAUGCGCCCCACUUACUAGGGUGAUCAGGGAGUUCAAAGCAAACGAAAAUACAUGUUGUAUGUUGCAAAAUAUUGUAUGAGUUGUUACUAGUGGGAAGAGGCAAAGAAAAAGAAUAUAGUGCUAUAUAAAAGCAUUAUUUGAAAUAGCACAUGUAUUUCAAAAACUGUAUAAAAAUCCUUAUUCUGACCAUCA